UUUUUUUAAUUAAAUUAUUUAUUUAUUUAUUUAUUUAUUUAUUUGGUUUUUCGAGACUGGGUUUCUCUGUGUAGCCCUGGCUGUCCUGGAACUCACUCUGUAGACCAGGCUGGCCUCAAACUCAGAAAUCCGCCUGUCUCUGCCCACCCCAGUGCUAGGAUUAAAGGCGUGCUCCACCACUCCUGGCAUUUGUGAGUAUUUUAUUACUUGCACCUAUGUCUGUGCACCACAUGCAUGUCUUCCCAAGGAUAAGGUAAGCCUCCACGUGGGUACUGGGAAUCGAAUCAGGGUAUUUGCAAGAGUACAUGUGCUUAACCACUGAGCCAACUCUCAAGCAGUCAUUUUACUACUUCAGAAUGGGUAAAUUAUAGAUGUAGUGAUAGAGCAUUCAUUAAGCUCUGUGUUCAAGUCUCACUACUACAAAUAUGAAAAAGAAAGAUGGGCAAGUUGAGGUUCAGACACUGUAUAUGGCUAAUGGAAACCAGGGAAAAAGGAUGCCUUUGGGAAAGGGAUUUUCUAGGUUUUCUAAACUAAGAGUGCAGUUAGUGCUGGCCUAGUGUGUCAACCCCUUAUUCAGUUCUAUCCUUAUACUGCACACACAAAGGAAAAUAGCCAAGGUCUUAGCAAAUUAACAAUUAAGCUGCAUUUAUGUCUAGCAAGGUUUGAUCUCUAGCAACUGUCAAAAAACAAAACAAACACACCCCACAGGCUUGGUGAGAUGGCUCAGUGAGUAAAGGGGCUUGGCAGUAAGCCUUUAUUCCUCAGGUCCUACAUGGUAGAAGAAUAGAACCAAUUCUGAUAAUGUGUUUUUUGAUCUCUGAAUGGACACCAUUGAAUCCAUGCACACACAAUACAUAAUAGUAAAUAAAUGUUUUAAAUGUCCUAAGAAUCUUUUUAAUCUUUUUUGUUUGUUUUUGUUUUGUUUUUUUUGAGACAGGGUUUCUCUAUGUAGCCCUGGCUGUCUUGGAACUCCCUCUGUAGACCAGGCUGGCCUCAAUCUCAAGAGAUCCACCUGCCUCUGCUUCCUGAGUGCUAGAAUUAAUGGCAUGCGCCACCACUGCCUGGCUUGUUUCUUUUUUUAAGACAGUGUCUAACUUUGUAGUCCUGGCUAACCUAGAACUCAUCAGACUCACAAGAGAUCCACUUGCCUGUGACUUCCAAGUGCUGGGAUUAAAGGUGCGUUCCACUACACAACAAUGUUUUGUAUUUUAAACUUGUAUCUUAUGAGUCUUUUGUCUGCAUUUAUGUCUAUUGACCACAAUAGUGCCUGGUACCUAGACACCAGAAGGGGGCUUCAUAUCCUCUAGUACUGUAGUUACAGAUAGUUACGAGCUUCCAUCUGGGUGCUGGGAAAUGACCCUGGGACUUCUUAAUCACAGCCAUCUCUCUAGCUUCCAACUUCUCAUUUUACAGUACUUUUAGGUUUAUAGAACAAUUGCAUAGAGAGUGUGGCAAGGUUCUGAAACUAAGCAUACUCAGCUUCAUCUACUAUGAAAAUUUUAUAUUAGCAUGAUAGAACUGACUCUUCAAAACAGUGCUGUUAUGAACUAAAGUUUAAUCAGACUUCCUUAGAUUUCACAUGGAGUCCCUUGUUCCAGGAUCCCAGUUACAGCAAAGAGCUCUCAUAUGUGUGCAUGAAUAUAGAGGGCAGAGGUUAAUGUCAGGCAUCUUGCCUGAGACAGUCUCACAGAGAUUUGCUUGCCUCUGCUUCCCUUCCCUAGAGCCAGGAUCAAAGGUGUGCACCAGUAUACCUGGCCCCAGCUUUUUUUUUUUUUAAUUUUUUUCUUCUUUUUAAUCACAUUUAUUUUAUUUUGUAGAGGCUCAGGUGUGCCACAGUACCCAAGUGGAGGUCAGAGGAGAAUUUAUGGGUUUGAUGGCAAACACCUUUUACCCACUGAGCUAUCUUGCUGGCCCUAUGCCCAGAUAUUUUAUGUGAGUUCUGGGAUUGAAUUCAUGUCCUUGUGUUUCAAGGAAAGCAUCUUAUUAAUUAAACUAUCAAGUCCCAAUCCACUUAAAAUUUUUCUACAUUUUUUUGGGACAUCAGAGAACAACUUAGAGGAGUUGUCUAUUCUUGUCUUCCUCUUCCACAAUAUGAGCCCAGAUAUCAAACCUAGAUCAUUAGGCUUGGGAGCAAGUGUGUUUACUUGCUGAGCCAUCUCACUAGCCCCUAGUCUACUUCUAGAAAAAAAAAAUAGAGUGCUGGCUGCUCUUUUAGAGGGCCUGAGUUCAGUUCCCACCACCCAUAUAGCAGCUCACAACCAUGUGCGACUCUAGUCCCAGAGAAUCUGACACCCUCCUCUGGUCUCUGAGAGCACUGCACAUAGGUAGUGCACAUACAUAAAUACAGGUAAAACAUUUCCACAUCAAAUAAAAUUUAAAAGUAAAUU
This 2387-nucleotide long non-coding RNA is filed under the name Mus musculus (house mouse). RNAcentral describes it as "long non-coding RNA chr7:127501201-127503588". The record is from RNAcentral. Lineage: Eukaryota; Metazoa; Chordata; Mammalia; Rodentia; Muridae.